This 253-nucleotide ribosomal RNA is filed under the name uncultured bacterium. RNAcentral describes it as "partial 16S ribosomal RNA". It matches the Rfam family "Bacterial small subunit ribosomal RNA", at positions 524 to 776 of the family's 1533-position model. The record is from RNAcentral.
UACGUAGGGGGCUAGCGUUGUCCGGAAUCAUUGGGCGUAAAGCGCGUGUAGGCGGCCCGGUAAGUCCGCUGUGAAAGUCGGGGGCUCAACCCUCGGAUGCCGGUGGAUACUGUCGGGCUCGAGUACGGAAGAGGCGAGUGGAAUUCCUGGUGUAGCGGUGAAAUGCGCAGAUAUCAGGAGGAACACCUAUUGCGAGGGCAGCUCGCUGGGACGUAACUGACGCUGAGACGCGAAAGCGUGGGGAGCAAACAGG